RNAcentral lists this long non-coding RNA (200 nucleotides) under Phoenix dactylifera (date palm). Its description in RNAcentral is "long non-coding RNA (PDAC_LNC017768)". Lineage: Eukaryota; Viridiplantae; Streptophyta; Magnoliopsida; Arecales; Arecaceae. The record is from RNAcentral.
GACUCCAGGGAGUUACAGACAGAAAGACAGAGAAGUCAUUUUGGACCCUGAGAGCCGAGUCGACUCCUGAGGAACGCGAGUCGACUCCGAUGGUUGGCAGGUCGACUCCAAAGGAAGCGAGAGUCGACUCUCAGUGUUAUACAAGGCAAAAGUCAGAGAGCAACUUUCGGGCACUGAGAGCCGAGUCGACUCCCGCAAAG